UACGUAGUGUGCGAGCGUUAAUCGGAAUUACUGGGCGUAAAGCGUGCGCAGGCGGAUUGUUAAGCAAGAUGUGAAAUCCCCGGGCUUAACCUGGGAAUGGCAUUUUGAACUGGCAGUCUAGAGUGUGUCAGAGGGGGGUGGAAUUCCACGUGUAGCAGUGAAAUGCGUAGAUAUGUGGAGGAACACCAAUGGCGAAGGCAGCCCCCUGGGAUAACACUGAAGCGCAUGUAAGCAAGCGGGGGUAGCACACAGGAGGCGAUAACCCGGUAGUCC
This 273-nucleotide ribosomal RNA is filed under the name uncultured bacterium. RNAcentral's name for it is "partial 16S ribosomal RNA". It matches the Rfam family "Bacterial small subunit ribosomal RNA", at positions 524 to 796 of the family's 1533-position model. The record is from RNAcentral.